This 792-nucleotide ribosomal RNA is filed under the name uncultured Pelagibacterales bacterium. RNAcentral's name for it is "partial small subunit ribosomal RNA". It matches the Rfam family "Bacterial small subunit ribosomal RNA", at positions 600 to 1404 of the family's 1533-position model. The record is from RNAcentral. Lineage: Bacteria; Pseudomonadati; Pseudomonadota; Alphaproteobacteria; Candidatus Pelagibacterales.
UCCCAGAGNNUAACUCUNGAAANUGCCAUAAAACUUUCAGCUAGAGUUGAUAGAGGAAGCNGAAUUCUAGUGUAGAGGUGAAAUUCGAGAUANUAGAAAGANUACCAAUUGNGAAGGCANCUUUCUGAUCAUUACUNGNACANUGAGGAACGAAAGCAUGGUAGCGAAGAGGAUUAGAUACCCUCGUAGUCCAUGCCGUAAACGAUGUGUUUAGACGUUGGAAAUUUAUUUUCAGUGUCGCAGGGAAACCGAUAAACACACCGCCUGGGGAGUACGACCGCAAGGUNAAAACUCAANUGAAUUGACGGGGACCCGCACAAGUAGUGGAGCAUGUGGUUUAAUUCGAAGCAACGCGCAGAACCUUACCAACCCUUGACAUGCCUGGACAAUCCGAGAGAUCGGACUUUCCUUCGGGACCAGUGCACAGGUGCUGCAUGGCNGUCGUCAGCUCGUGUCGUGAGAUGUUGGGUUAAGUCCCGCAACGAGCGCAACCCUCACUUUUAGUUGCCAUCAUUAAGUUGGGCACUCUGANAGAACUGCCAGUGNUNNGCUGGNGGAANGUGGGGANGACGUCAAGUCCUCAUGGCCCUUACNNUGUUGGGCUACACACNUGCUACAAUGGUAUCUACAACAGGAAGCAAGACUGCGAAGUUAAGCAAAUCCCUAAAAGAUACCUCAGUUCGGAUUGCACUCUGCAACUCGAGUGCANGAAGCNGGAAUUACUNGUAAUCGUAGAUCAGCGUGCUACGGUGAAUGCGUUCCCGGGUCUNGUACACACCGCCCGUCACACCA